AAGGGUGCGGUAAGAGCGCACCGCGCGGCUGGUAACAGCAGCGGCAUGGUAAACCCCGCCGGGAGCAAGACCAAAUAGGGAUGGCAGCCGCGCGCGCCGCGGCGGGUAUGUUUUUGGGCCGCCAUCCGGGUAGGUUGCACGAGGCGUCUGGUAACAGGCGUCCCAGAUGAAUGGUCAUCGCCUGCGCAAGCAGGUACAGAACCCGGCUUAUAGGCCAUCUGAUAAU
RNAcentral lists this RNase P RNA (226 nucleotides) under Alphaproteobacteria bacterium. Its description in RNAcentral is "partial RNase P RNA component class A". It matches the Rfam family "Bacterial RNase P class A", at positions 158 to 367 of the family's 367-position model. From Rfam's summary of the family: Ribonuclease P (RNase P) is a ubiquitous endoribonuclease, found in archaea, bacteria and eukarya as well as chloroplasts and mitochondria. Its best characterised activity is the generation of mature 5'-ends of tRNAs by cleaving the 5'-leader elements of precursor-tRNAs. The record is from RNAcentral. Lineage: Bacteria; Pseudomonadati; Pseudomonadota; Alphaproteobacteria.